Choloepus didactylus (southern two-toed sloth) is the source of this 409-nucleotide long non-coding RNA. RefSeq lists it as uncharacterized. The transcript has 3 exons. The record is from RefSeq and is a predicted model, not a curated record. Lineage: Eukaryota; Metazoa; Chordata; Mammalia; Pilosa; Megalonychidae.
AAGGAGGCAGCAAACACAGCAUCAGACAUGGCCAGCCAGAGCUCCACAGAAACCAGCUUUCCCGUGAUGUUCCCUGGCAUGGAGGCUCCAGUCCUACAAGGGCUUGAAACUCAAGAUGUCCUGUGCUAGAGCAUUCCUGAUAGAAAUGUAAAGGAAUAAUGCUCUGUAUUAGAAAGUUCAGAUCUCUCAAUACCCUUAUAAAGCCACUGUGUUUGAGGCAGCCCAGGACACACGGAGAGGCCAAGAGUACUUAUUCUGGCUGAAGUUCCCAGCUGAAGUCUGAGCCCACAGCCAGCAUCAACCUGCAGAUGAGUGAGUGAAUGAGCUUCAAGAAGGUUCCAGCCCACAGCCUUUGCAUCUUCCAAUGAAGGCCCAGACAUUGUGGAGCAGGAAUAAGCCAUCCCUCCCC